RNAcentral lists this ribosomal RNA (589 nucleotides) under uncultured bacterium. Its description in RNAcentral is "bacterial SSU rRNA". It matches the Rfam family "Bacterial small subunit ribosomal RNA", at positions 163 to 774 of the family's 1533-position model. The record is from RNAcentral.
ACAAUACCGCAUAUGCUCUUUCGCGAGGAAGAGCAAAGCCGGAAACGGCGCCCGAGGAUGAGCCUGCGCUCGAUUAGUUGGUUGGUGGGGUAAUGGCCUACCAAGACUGCGAUCGAUAGCUGUUCUGAGAGGACGAUCAGCCACACUGGGAUUGAGAACGGCCCAGACUCCUACGGGGGGCAGCAGUGAGGAAUUUUCGUCAAUGGGGGCAACCCUGAACGAGCAACGCCGCGUGCAGGAUGAAGGUUUUCGGAUCGUAAACUGCUUUUCUCUGGGACGAGAACGGACGGUACCAGAGGAAUCAGCCUCGGCUAACUACGUGCCAGCAGCCGCGGUAAUACGUAGGAGGCGAGCGUUGUCCGGAGUUACUGGGCGUAAAGCGCACGCAGGCGGUCAGGUAAGUCUGUGGUGACAGUCGUCGGCUUAACCGACGAAGUACUAUGGAAACUGUUUGACUUGAGGGCUUCAGAGGGACACGGAAUUCCGGGUGGAGUGGUGAAAUGCGUAGAUAUCCGGAGGAACACCAAUGGCGAAGGCAGUGUCCUGGGAAGUACCUGACGCUCAGGUGCGAAAGCUAGGGGAGCGAACA